Molecule: ribosomal RNA, 717 nt
Filed under: uncultured bacterium
Lineage: Bacteria
Description: bacterial SSU rRNA
Rfam family: Bacterial small subunit ribosomal RNA
Source: RNAcentral
GGGCAGCAUGAUUGAAGCUUGCUUCAAUCGAUGGCGACCGGCGCACGGGUGAGUAACACGUAUCCAACCUGCCGAUAACUCGGGGAUAGCCUUUCGAAAGAAAGAUUAAUACCCGAUUGCAUAGUAUUUCCGCAUGGUUUCACUAUUAAAGAAUUUCGGUUAUCGAUGGGGAUGCGUUCCAUUAGAUAGUUGGCGGGGUAACGGCCCACCAAGUCAACGAUGGAUAGGGGUUCUGAGAGGAAGGUCCCCCACAUUGGAACUGAGACACGGUCCAAACUCCUACGGGAGGCAGCAGUGAGGAAUAUUGGUCAAUGGACGAGAGUCUGAACCAGCCAAGUAGCGUGAAGGAUGACUGCCCUAUGGGUUGUAAACUUCUUUUAUACGGGAAUAAAGUGGAGUAUGCAUACUCCUUUGUAUGUACCGUAUGAAUAAGGAUCGGCUAACUCCGUGCCAGCAGCCGCGGUAAUACGGAGGAUCCGAGCGUUAUCCGGAUUUAUUGGGUUUAAAGGGAGCGUAGGCGGGUGCUUAAGUCAGUUGUGAAAGUUUGCGGCUCAACCGUAAAAUUGCAGUUGAUACUGGGCGCCUUGAGUGCAGCAUAGGUAGGCGGAAUUCGUGGUGUAGCGGUGAAAUGCUUAGAUAUCACGAAGAACUCCGAUUGCGAAGGCAGCUUACUGGACUGUAACUGACGCUGAUGCUCGAAAGUGUGGGUAUCAAACA